CCUACGGGUGGCUGCAGUGGGGAAUAUUGCACAAUGGGGGAAACCCUGAUGCAGCAACGCCGCGUGAGCGAUGAAGGCCUUCGGGUCGUAAAGCUCUGUCCUAAGGGAAGAAUAUUGACGGUACCUUAGGAGGAAGCCCCGGCUAACCACGUGCCAGCAGCCGCGGUAAUACGUAGGGGGCUAGCGUUAUCCGGGAUUACUGUGCGUAAAGGGUGCGUAGGCGGCCCUUCAAGUCAGAGGGUGAAGGCUACGGCGCAACCGUAGUAAGGCUUUGGAAUUGUAGGGCGUGAGUGCAGGAGGGGAGAGUGGAAUUGACUGGGGGGCGGUGUAAUACGUGAAUAAUGGGAGGAACACCAGUGGCGAAGGCGGCUCUCUGGACUGUGACUGACGCUGAGGCACGAAAGCGUGGGGAGCGAACAGGAUUAGGUACCGGGGUAGUC
Molecule: ribosomal RNA, 440 nt
Filed under: uncultured bacterium
Lineage: Bacteria
Description: bacterial SSU rRNA
Rfam family: Bacterial small subunit ribosomal RNA
Source: RNAcentral